UGUAGGCCGGGAAUCGAACCUGGGCCGCCCGCGUGGCAGGCGAGCAUUCUACCACUGCACCCAC
This 64-nucleotide transfer RNA is filed under the name Ancylostoma ceylanicum. RNAcentral describes it as "tRNA-Gly". The record is from RNAcentral. Lineage: Eukaryota; Metazoa; Nematoda; Chromadorea; Rhabditida; Ancylostomatidae.